RNAcentral lists this transfer RNA (90 nucleotides) under Gammaproteobacteria bacterium. Its description in RNAcentral is "tRNA-Ser". It matches the Rfam family "tRNA". From Rfam's summary of the family: Transfer RNA (tRNA) molecules are approximately 80 nucleotides in length. Their secondary structure includes four short double-helical elements and three loops (D, anti-codon, and T loops). RNAcentral also lists the same sequence under 1 other name. The record is from RNAcentral. Lineage: Bacteria; Pseudomonadati; Pseudomonadota; Gammaproteobacteria.
GGAGAGGUGGCUGAGUGGUUGAAAGCGCUCCCCUGCUAAGGGAGUAAGGUGUUAAAGCCUUCGAGGGUUCGAAUCCCUCCCUCUCCGCCA